Molecule: ribosomal RNA, 1371 nt
Filed under: uncultured bacterium
Lineage: Bacteria
Description: bacterial SSU rRNA
Rfam family: Bacterial small subunit ribosomal RNA
Source: RNAcentral
GAUGAACGCUGGCGGCGUGCCUAAUACAUGCAAGUCGAGCGAACGGACGAGAAGCUUGCUUCUCUGAUGUUAGCGGCGGACGGGUGAGUAACACGUGGAUAACCUACCUAUAAGACUGGGAUAACUUCGGGAAACCGGAGCUAAUACCGGAUAAUAUUUUGAACCGCAUGGUUCAAAAGUGAAAGACGGUCUUGCUGUCACUUAUAGAUGGAUCCGCGCUGCAUUAGCUAGUUGGUAAGGUAACGGCUUACCAAGGCAACGAUGCAUAGCCGACCUGAGAGGGUGAUCGGCCACACUGGAACUGAGACACGGUCCAGACUCCUACGGGAGGCAGCAGUAGGGAAUCUUCCGCAAUGGGCGAAAGCCUGACGGAGCAACGCCGCGUGAGUGAUGAAGGUCUUCGGAUCGUAAAACUCUGUUAUUAGGGAAGAACAUAUGUGUAAGUAACUGUGCACAUCUUGACGGUACCUAAUCAGAAAGCCACGGCUAACUACGUGCCAGCAGCCGCGGUAAUACGUAGGUGGCAAGCGUUAUCCGGAAUUAUUGGGCGUAAAGCGCGCGUAGCGGUUUUUUAAGUCUGAUGUGAAAGCCCACGGCUCAACCGUGGAGGGUCAUUGGAAACUGGAAAACUUGAGUGCAGAAGAGGAAAGUGGAAUUCCAUGUGUAGCGGUGAAAUGCGCAGAGAUAUGGAGGAACACCAGUGGCGAAGGCGACUUUCUGGUCUGUAACUGACGCUGAUGUGCGAAAGCGUGGGGAUCAAACAGGAUUAGAUACCCUGGUAGUCCACGCCGUAAACGAUGAGUGCUAAGUGUUAGGGGGUUUCCGCCCCUUAGUGCUGCAGCUAACGCAUUAAGCACUCCGCCUGGGGAGUACGACCGCAAGGUUGAAACUCAAAGGAAUUGACGGGGACCCGCACAAGCGGUGGAGCAUGUGGUUUAAUUCGAAGCAACGCGAAGAACCUUACCAAAUCUUGACAUCCUUUGACAACUCUAGAGAUAGAGCCUUCCCCUUCGGGGGACAAAGUGACAGGUGGUGCAUGGUUGUCGUCAGCUCGUGUCGUGAGAUGUUGGGUUAAGUCCCGCAACAAGCGCAACCCUUAAGCUUAGUUGCCAUCAUUAAGUUGGGCACUCUAAGUUGACUGCCGGUGACAAACCGGAGGAAGGUGGGGAUGACGUCAAAUCAUCAUGCCCCUUAUGAUUUGGGCUACACACGUGCUACAAUGGACAAUACAAAGGGCAGCGAAACCGCGAGGUCAAGCAAAUCCCAUAAAGUUGUUCUCAGUUCGGAUUGUAGUCUGCAACUCGACUACAUGAAGCUGGAAUCGCUAGUAAUCGUAGAUCAGCAUGCUACGGUGAAUACGUUCCCGGGUCU